Molecule: long non-coding RNA, 1064 nt
Filed under: Mytilus galloprovincialis (Mediterranean mussel)
Lineage: Eukaryota; Metazoa; Mollusca; Bivalvia; Mytilida; Mytilidae
Source: RNAcentral
AUUCUUUUUCAAACAAGGUUAAGACCCUAUCCUAUAUGGUCUGCUGUAAUACCAGUCGCUUUGUUCUGUUUUCAUGCUUAUACUUUAAAAUCGUUACUCCAUUAGAAAUGUGUUUUCUUGUCUCAUUUCCGACAUAUAUGAUUUCUGCAGAAAGUUGCAAAUAAAGUCUAGAGAUGUAUGCGGAUCCGGGAUUUUGGAAAAAAGGAGACCCCAAAACUAGGUAACGUUAGGAAUAGAACAUAUUAGAAUAGUACGCAUUAACUAUUUGUUCAGUCUGCAGAGGCAGAUUUAGAGCCAGUACAGGUGGCUCUACCCUUGUGUGGGAAAAUAUGAAUAAAGGAAUCACUGGAGCGGGCACCACUUACGUAAAUUUCCGCUACUAGUAAUCCAUAAAGGGACAGACCCUCCCACCCUCUUUUCCUAUCUUAAAUCCGCCUUUGUAAUAACGAGAAACAUUUCAAAUAUAUUCAGACGUUUUUGGAAAUUUAAGAAAUUUCUAACGUGAAAAGUGAUUUUAAGUUAAAUGGAACCUAAAGUACAACUGCAUGUUAACCUUCCGAUUAUGGAUUCCAGGAUUACACGAUUAUUGAUCAAGCACAGCUACAUAUACUUUUUGAAUAGUUUCCAUAUCAACGUUAAUCAAUUGGGCAAAAACAAUAAAUACUGUGUUUAAUAUAACAAUCCAAUCUUUUUAUACACUGCUCUAUUUUUACCGCAGUCAACUGUCUCGAAAGAUGGAUUGAUUUCCUACACAUAAUCGUAGUUUUGCGGUUAUCCGUUUAUCCUGAAAACCAGACAGAUAUUUUUUUGCAUUUUAUGCUUUAUGUGGGAUGAUUCACAUUCUCGUUCACAUUUUUUAACCACAACAUAUAAAUUAUUUUCAUGUAUUUUAAUCAACAAAAUGAACUCCGACAAAUGAAAUCAAUGAUGAUAGAGUAGACGGAUGACUCAACUGAAAUGGAAUUUUUAGAAUUUCAACAUCAGCAGCAGACGAACUUUUCAACCAUUUUCUCAUCAUCUCGGGUUUCUAUUUUUCUGAUGACUAAGAACGGAUUAAAGGAAAG